This 503-nucleotide ribosomal RNA is filed under the name uncultured bacterium. Its description in RNAcentral is "partial 16S ribosomal RNA". It matches the Rfam family "Bacterial small subunit ribosomal RNA", at positions 29 to 523 of the family's 1533-position model. The record is from RNAcentral.
AGUGAACGCUGGCGGCGUGCUUAACACAUGCAAGUCGAGCGGGGUGAUGGUGCUUGCACUAUCACUUAGCGGCGGACGGGUGAGUAAUGCUUAGGAAUCUGCCUAUUAGUGGGGGACAACAUCUCGAAAGGGAUGCUAAUACCGCAUACGUCCUACGGGAGAAAGCAGGGGAUCACUUGUGACCUUGCGCUAAUAGAUGAGCCUAAGUCGGAUUAGCUAGUUGGUGGGGUAAAGGCCUACCAAGGCGACGAUCUGUAGCGGGUCUGAGAGGAUGAUCCGCCACACUGGGACUGAGACACGGCCCAGACUCCUACGGGAGGCAGCAGUGGGGAAUAUUGGACAAUGGGGGGAACCCUGAUCCAGCCAUGCCGCGUGUGUGAAGAAGGCCUUAUGGUUGUAAAGCACUUUAAGCGAGGAGGAGGCUCUUUUGGUUAAUACCCAAGAUGAGUGGACGUUACUCGCAGAAUAAGCACCGGCUAACUCUGUGCCAGCCGCCGCGGUAA